RNAcentral lists this ribosomal RNA (117 nucleotides) under Bacillota bacterium. The record is from RNAcentral. Lineage: Bacteria; Bacillati; Bacillota.
CCCGGUGGUUAUAGCGGAGAGGCCACACCUGUUCCCAUCCCGAACACAGUAGUUAAGCUCUCCCACGUCGAUGGUACUUGGGACGCCGGUCCCUGGAAGAGUAGAUCGCUGCCGGGA